This 1208-nucleotide long non-coding RNA is filed under the name Monodelphis domestica (gray short-tailed opossum). Its description in RNAcentral is "lncRNA (ENSMODG00000002995.4)". Lineage: Eukaryota; Metazoa; Chordata; Mammalia; Didelphimorphia; Didelphidae. The record is from RNAcentral.
CAAAGCCUCAGAAUUAUUAAGUUAAGGGAAUGAGAUUUGAACCCAGGUUCUAUUGAAUCCAAAGUCCACUAUCUGGCAGAGGAACUCUCUCUCACCUCAAUUUAAUCCAUUUCAUGCACAAGUCAAGAAAUCACCUAAUGAUGUAAUUGGUUCUCUUUGAAAAAGAAAACAGCAACAAUCUACAUUACACUUUCUUCUAAGACAUUUCGACACACUAACACUGUCAGGCAGAAGGUGUUGGAUACUGUUGGCUUCAUUUUCAAUUAAGGAAACUGAAAAUCAAAGUAGUUAGGCCAUUUUGAAGUGGUAAAUAUGGGACUGGAACUCAAAUAUCUUUACUGAAUACAUUAUCUUUCCAUUUAUUCCUGUGAAUGAAAAAUUAUUUGGGCAAAGAAAAAUGGAUCUGAAAAGCAAAGGAGCUCAGAACUUUGGGAACACAAAUCAUCAGGGGAGGGGAAACUGUUCCAAUGGAACCUUGAAAGAGGCAGUUAGGAAACUCCAGCUGCCUGAGACUUCAUCUUCUUGACUGUUUCUACCUGAGGGUGGAAGACCCCUCUGUCUCCUCUCUGGCCAUUGCCUUCUACCUACUCUGUCAUACAAGUAAAACAUACGAUGAAUAUUAGCUUAACAUCAUGUAGACCUUUGUGUCUGGCAGCAGAAGGUUCUGCCUUAGAAGAAAGCACUUUCCUCAUUGGUAGAGAUAUUGAAACAGGAACUGCAUAACCACGUGUCAAGAUUCAUUAGAACAGGAGAUAAAUUCAUUAAACAAGUGGAUGGAGUGAAGUCUGGCUUCUCUAGCUGAGAUCAGGUAUUUUGUUCAGCAUUGAGGAUAUUAAAAAAAAAAAGAAAGAAAAACAGUCCCAGUCUUCAAGGAUUUCAUAGUCUAAUGCAGAGAGACAAUAUAUACCACCAAGAUGCAUACAGGCUACACUGGAGAAAAUCUCAGAGGGAAGACACCAACAUUAAGAUGGCCCAGGAAAGGCUUUUUGCAGAAGGAAUCUUCUCAGACUGUGUCUCAUAAUGGUACUUCCCACAGGCAUGGGAGAAAGGACUUGUCACUCAGUACAAGGCUACCACUCAUCACUUAUUGGAACUUUGUGCUAAGAUAAAAAUGGUUAACUUCUGUAGUUUUGUUCUGGGCUUAAUGAAUAUCCUCUGAAAACCACGUUCCAUUUACUUUGGGCCCCUUCAACUAGAGUUACCUUAGC